Molecule: ribosomal RNA, 254 nt
Filed under: uncultured bacterium
Lineage: Bacteria
Description: partial 16S ribosomal RNA
Rfam family: Bacterial small subunit ribosomal RNA
Source: RNAcentral
UACGAAGGGGGCUAGCGUUGUUCGGAAUCACUGGGCGUAAAGCGCACGCAGGCGGAUUGAUAAGUCAGGGGUGAAAUCCCGGAGCUCAACUUCGGAAUUGCCUUUGAUACUGUCUAUCGUCGAGUUCGGGAGAGGUUGGCGGAAUUCCUAGUGUAGAGGUGAAAUUCGUAGAUAUUAGGAAGAACACCAGUGGCGAAGGCGGCCAACUGGCCCGAUACUGACGCUCAUGUGCGAAAGCGUGGGGAGCAAACAGG